UAGGGAAUAUUGGUCAAUGGAGGCAACUCUGAACCAGCCAUGCCGCGUGUAGGAAGAAGGCGUUCUGCGUUGUAAACUACUUUUGAUUGGGAACAAAUGACUCUUGCGAGAGUAGCUGAGUGUACCAAUAGAAUAAGCCACGGCUAACUACGUGCCAGCAGCCGCGGUAAUACGUAGGUGGCAAGCGUUGUCCGGAUUUAUUGGGUUUAAAGGGUGCGUAGGCGGCUUGAUAAGUCAGUGGUGAAAGCCGAUCGCUUAACGAUCGAACUGCCAUUGAUACUGCCAGGCUUGAGUAUAGUUGAGGUAGGCGGAAUUGACAGUGUAGCGGUGAAAUGCAUAGAUAUUGUCAAGAACACCAAUUGCGAAGGCAGCUUACUAAAGUAUAACUGACGCUGAGGCACGAAAGUGCGGGGAUCAAACAG
Molecule: ribosomal RNA, 422 nt
Filed under: uncultured bacterium
Lineage: Bacteria
Description: bacterial SSU rRNA
Rfam family: Bacterial small subunit ribosomal RNA
Source: RNAcentral